Molecule: long non-coding RNA, 875 nt
Organism: Mya arenaria
Lineage: Eukaryota; Metazoa; Mollusca; Bivalvia; Myida; Myidae
Exons: 2
Source: RefSeq, a predicted model, not a curated record
UAAGCUGACCGGGCAGCUGGUUCUAACCCACACACACUACCCUCCCCCCAUUUACCGGUUACGGCUGGUGGAGGGUCUCCUGCUAUUUACCGUUGACACCAUUAAAGUAUUCUGAUUGAUGGAGAUAAGGAAGUCCACUUAUUAUUGUAUUCAACAAGCCUACUGCCACAGGGGACCUAGCAUAAGACCGGAAACCGCCCCCCCCCCACAUGAUAUUUGCCAGUCCAGGCAAUUUCAACCGCAAGAGAAAACCAGUGAUGACAAGUUUUACAAAUAAUCGGAAAGUGUGGUCUUUUGAAGAGAGUUCUUGAAGUUGUUCAGCAUGUUGUUUUGAUGGAUUCUUGGAAGGAUGUACCUCUAUGAUGUUAGCUUCAGUUCUGGAGUAUAACACCAGUUGUUGCAUAUUUAAUAUCAGAUUUAUUAAAUACAUUGUUGUUUUGCAAACAUUACUUAAACUUUGAUAUUUCUUUGGUGUUUAUGUAUGAUAUUGUAGGGGAAUAUCUCUUUAUUGCAAUGGCAAAUAUAUUUUAAAAUAUAUAGCAUUAGCUAGAAGUUAUUUUUCACUGUUAAAGCUGCACUUUCACAGAUUGAUCACUUUGACAACUUACACAGGAUUCGAUUGCAUUUAUCAUACUUUGGCUCGGAGAAGUUUGCUUUGUGAUUUAUAUAUUAGGUCUUAAUUUAAAGAAUGCCAAAAUAAGCCGAUUCUGAGACAAAAAGUGUCAAACUAGAAUUCUGUGAGAGUGCAACUUUAAGAAUACUGUUAAUCGAGUGUGCAUGUGAUCCGGACUCUGAACAUUGGAUGAACUAUCAUUAAAUAUUGUAGAUUAACGUAAAUGGCCCAAAAUAUAAGAAUAACAAUGAAAAUAUGUACA